RNAcentral lists this long non-coding RNA (1742 nucleotides) under Pollicipes pollicipes. RNAcentral's name for it is "uncharacterized LOC119109464, transcript variant X3". Lineage: Eukaryota; Metazoa; Arthropoda; Thecostraca; Pollicipedomorpha; Pollicipedidae. The record is from RNAcentral.
CAGCUGUAGAGAAAACUGGGUUCCAAAGUUGUAUAGGAUGAAGAUGAUCAGCAAUGUAUACUGCUGAUCCACCACCUACCCCAUUUGAUCUGCCGCAGUAGAAAGCUCGGUAUCCAGGUAAAUAGAAUGUGCAUGCUUCUCUUAGUUUUUCAUAUUCAUCAUAUGAUAGUGAAUGAUAACUACCAUCAAUGUUUGAAGCAAAUGGAUUAAACACCUUAUUAUUUGAGGUUGAACCCAUACAGUAAGGUGUUGAUGGAAAGGAAGAACUUGAGAGCCUGGUCUCAGGCCCAGCUUGCCUGCCUUCAACUGUUACAAACUCUUCAAGAUUAGCAGCUCUGUUUAGCACAUGACCAGCAGGAAUGCGGUUCAGGGUCUGAGAGUAUAUGAAUCGAUUCUGGCCUGCUACACUUCUGUUCGCCGAAGAGGACAGUGUGGAAGCGUGAAACGCCGGCUGAAAAGUAAAAGCAGACUUCCAAGCCUGAAAUGAUGACGUCAUCCAAGUUGGCAAUUUACUAGCGGACAAGUCGGAGAAAAAUGCAGAAAGUUUGGAAAGCCACCAAUUUCCCCAGCCAGGUUCGCAACGUAUUGACAAGCAGCGUCCGUCGAGCAUAACGAUUCUUGUUUCUUUGUUCUCACUCUGGGGUCGCCAUAGUUCCUUCCAGGGGUCAAGGGGUGACGAGAUGUCAGUGUUAUGGUGGGCACAUACUUUUCUAUCUGACUCAUAACUGCUGUUCAAAGGUCGCAUGCGCCACCUGCCACGUCUGGUCGUAACGGUGGCCCGUGCGCUGCGGCCGCUCAAGUCGCUGCCAGCUGGAUUCCAGACGGCAGCGGAUCCUUUGUGCAACCCGAGCUCCAUCGAGUGCGCUCGCGCUGCUCGGUGGUUGUUGUUCUGGUCGUGUUUAAGAGAAGCUGGGUAUCUAGCGAUCACAAGUCCACAUUUUCACGUUAGUCUUUAUCCACAAGCCAUCACUUUGAGGUCAUGUUACAUGUGAAGCAAGGUACGUACGUCCGAACUCGUGCUGCCACUUUCAAACCCACGGGCUGUGAGUCACUUAACUCUAAAUUCUAAGAGACUGAAAUUUCAACGCAUGACUGUGGUACCUGAUGGGCAUGAACAAUGUUCUGGACAUCCCUUUCAUGGCAUGUGCUUGUGUAUAAGGCUAUCCAUCUUUCAAUGUUUACGCAAGUGUUUCUUUGUGAAAUUGACAAUGUGGCUCGUUUGAGGCACCUGCUACCCAUGGGCUGUCCAUGGCCAAAUUGUCUCUACAUAGACAUGUCUACAUAUAUUCUCAUUCAGGACUGUGGUCAUUAUAUCAACCUAGGUGAAUGUAAAGUGAGGCCUGGUUUUUUACAUUCUUAUGCUAGUUGAUGUUUGAUUUCUCGUCUUUCAAGGUAUACAUUGCUGAUUCCUUUUGAAGAGCCUUCUAAAGGAUCACGACGAUUUUGUCUUGUGCAAGGAGGAUUGAUACCUUGGAGCAAGAUCAUUGCAUCUGUUGGUGCUUCAACAGUCCCUUCAAAAUGAGACAUGUAUACACACUUGAAAUGAAUAAAGUUCAACAGUUUGGCUCAUUCUAAUUAAUAAAAACAGGUAGAGGAAUUAACGGCGGUAGAUUUGAAUGUUCGCGAGACGGCCUUGUUAUUAUGACCAGAUUAAGUAUGUCUAUCUCGAAUUAAUACAGGGUCAUUAGAUGUGAGCCAUGGCAAGAAUAUACAAAAGCGAUUGCCACGCUUUAAGAUUUCUC